AUGCGGUGCCAGCUCAGUGCCAACGAGGUGCCGGUGCCAUUCCCGUGCCAUCCCCGUGCCGUGCCAACACGGUGCCGGUGCCGUUCCCGUGCCAAGGUGAUGCCAACGCGGUGCCGGUGCCGGUGCCAUCCCCGUGCCAACGCGGUGCCAACGCGGUGCCGGUGCCGUUGCCGUCCCCCCCCCCAACCCUCCCCAUAUCCCCUCCCGGUGCCGCCCCCGGCCCGCCCCCGCCCCUCCCCUGCCCUCCCCCGGUGCUCGGCGGGGCCGUGCCGGUGCUCGGCGGCGGCGGCGGCGGCGGCGAUGGCGCUGUCGGGGCCGCCCCGUUCCUGCCUCCUGCUGGCGGCCGCGCUGCUGCUGCCGCUGCCCGGGGCCGCCCCGGACCCCGCCGCGCCCGCGCUCACCGACGCCGAGAUCGAGGCGUUCCUCAGGGGCUUCCUCGGGCCCGACGGGGACCGCGACGGCGACGGCGACGGGGACGGGGACGGGGAUGGCACCGAGCCGGGCUUCGCCACCGAGCAGGGCACCGGCACCGGGCUGAGCACCGACCCUCCGGGGCGGCUGCCGGAGCCCGAGGCACCCAAGAAGGGCCGGAAGGAAAAAGCCCCAAAACCCACCAAAAAGCCCAAGGAGAGAGCACGGGGCUCCAAAAAGGACAAGGACAGGGACAGGGACAAGGAGCGGGACAAGAGCAGGGACAAGAGCAAGGACGGGGACAAGCCCCCCAAGAAGCCCAAGGAGAAGACCCCAAAAGGCUCCGAGAAACCCCCAAAAGGCUCCGAGAAACCCCCAAAAGGCUCCAAGAAGCCCAAGGAGAAGCCGCCCAAGGAGAAGCCACCCAAGGAGAAGCCACCCAAGGCCACCAAGAAGCCCUCGGGCACGAGGCCCCCGGAGCCACCGGACACCCCCUGGGAGCCCCCCGUGGCCCCGCACCCCCCGCGGGGCGAGGACAGAGAGGGGACGUCCCUGUCCCCAGGGCAGCCGCGGGUCCCUGAGGAGGAGGAGGAGGAUGGCAGAGACCGAGGCGGGCUGGAGGAGCUGCCGACGGAGCGCUGGGAGCUGGGGGGGGAGGACUGGCACCCCCCUCCCGAGGCUGAGGUCCCCGCGGAGCCGGAGCCGCCGACGCUGGACUACAACGAGCAGCUGGAGCGGGAGGACUACGAGGACUUCGAGUACAUUCGGCGGCAGCAGAAACCCCGCAAGCCCCCCAGCAGGAAGAAACCCGAGCGAGUCUGGCCCCAGCCGGAGACGCCACCACGUCAGUGCGGUGACAGGGGGACAAAGGGGGACAAAGGGGGCUGGCGGGGGGGGGUCCCCAGUCCCAGGUGGGGGGCGGCAUCGUUUUGGGGCAGCCCAGGGCUGGGACGGGCAUGGGGACAGCAGGGAUGGAUGGGGAGCAUGUGA
Molecule: long non-coding RNA, 1401 nt
Filed under: Anas platyrhynchos (mallard)
Lineage: Eukaryota; Metazoa; Chordata; Aves; Anseriformes; Anatidae
Description: lncRNA (ENSAPLG00020007435.1)
Source: RNAcentral